This is a long non-coding RNA of Myzus persicae (green peach aphid), 848 nucleotides long. RefSeq lists it as uncharacterized. NCBI's taxonomy places the organism in Eukaryota, Metazoa, Arthropoda, Insecta, Hemiptera, Aphididae. The record is from RefSeq and is a predicted model, not a curated record. The transcript has 4 exons.
UUUUACGCGUACCCUUUGUUUUUCUUCCAUGAAAAGCAUUAUAAAUUCUUAUCGGAUUAACAAAAUGGAUGGAUGGAAUUGUCGCACAUCGACCAUCCGGUAACGGUAGGAACAACAGACUGGAUGCUCCCAGACGCCCUCCUCCGCUCUACCCUUCUACGACACGAGGUAUUAACUCAUAAAUAAAGUGCAACGGCGAUUAUCCACAGUUCAGCGUUUACAUUUAGGUAGGUAUUUUUAAAAAUAAAAUCGUUCAAAAGAAUUCUACACACGCCCAACACUAGUUAAAGUCGAUUUAAAAACCACUAGAAUCACAACAUUAGACAUCCAUAACCAAUGCAACGUCAAUCUGGAAAACCAUCAAAUUAAAUUAUCCAAAAAUCAGACAUCAUUUCUACAAGCAGUCACUAUAACGAGACAAAAUAUUAAAAUAACGGAGAAUGACCUAUAAAAAUAUCCUUUAAGGGUUAAAAUGGAUUGUUCACUUUUGAAAGGAGUUGUGGAUGAUAAGAAACUACUUAUGUCAUAUGGAAAAAAAAUAUUUAGCUAUAAAUUUAGAAGUGUUGAAUAUUAUUUUAGGAAUAAUACAUUAUAAUUUCAUCCUCACUAAUGAUGCACUUCAAUAGAUCCAAGUCCACAGAAAGUUUGUAACAUUAAAAGGAAAUCAGCUCAAUCCGAAUACUCGAGUGAAGUGCAUUAGAAAAUCAAGUAGAAUCAGAAAUGUAUAAAAAUUAAAAAAAAAAAACUAUUUGAAAUAUAUACAAUUUAAAAUAUAGUUAUUUAACUACAUAAUAUAUAUUUAUAAUUGCUUGUGAGAAAUAAAGUUUGUGUAAGAAUCAUUUACUACU